Molecule: ribosomal RNA, 446 nt
Filed under: uncultured bacterium
Lineage: Bacteria
Description: partial 16S ribosomal RNA
Rfam family: Bacterial small subunit ribosomal RNA
Source: RNAcentral
CCUACGGGGGGCAGCAGUCGAGAAUCAUUCUCAAUGGGGGAAACCCUGAUGGUGCGACGCCGCGUGGGGGAAUGAAGGUCUACGGAUUGUAAACCCCUGUCAUGUGGGAGCAAAGUACAAAGAUAGUCCCACAAGAGGAAGAGACUGCUAACUCUGUGCCAGCAGCCGCGGUACUACAGAGGCCGCAAGCGUUGGUCGGCAUCACUGGGCGUAAAGCGUGCGUAGGCUGUUUGGUAAGUCGUGUGUGAAAGGCGCGGGCUCAACCCGCGGACGGCACAUGACACUGCGAGACUAGAGUUAUGGAGAGGGAACCGGAAUUCUCGGUGUAGCAGUGAAAUGCGUAGAUAUCGAGAGGAACACUCGUGGCGAAGGCGGGUUCCUGGACAUUAACUGACGCUGAGGCACGAAAGCCAGGGGAGCGAAAGGGAUUAGAUACCCCAGUAGUC